UCGUCAGCUCGUGUUGUGAAAUGUUGGGUUAAGUCCCGCAACGAGCGCAACCCUUAUCCUUUGUUGCCAGCGGUCCGGCCGGGAACUCAAAGGAGACUGCCAGUGAUAAACUGGAGGAAGGUGGGGAUGACGUCAAGUCAUCAUGGCCCUUACGACCAGGGCUACACACGUGCUACAAUGGCGCAUACAAAGAGAAGCGACCUCGCGAGAGCAAGCGGACCUCAUAAAGUGCGUCGUAGUCCGGAUUGGAGUCUGCAACUCGACUCCAUGAAGUCGGAAUCGCUAGUAAUCGUGGAUCAGAAUGCCACGGUGAAUACGUUCCCGGGCCUUGUACACACCGCCCGUCACACCAUGGGAGUGGGUUGCAAAAGAAGUAGGUAGCUUAACCUUCGGGAGGGCGCUUACCUCUUUGUGAUUCAUGACUGGGGUGAAGUCGUAACAAGGUAGCCGUA
RNAcentral lists this ribosomal RNA (452 nucleotides) under uncultured bacterium. RNAcentral's name for it is "bacterial SSU rRNA". It matches the Rfam family "Bacterial small subunit ribosomal RNA", at positions 1052 to 1504 of the family's 1533-position model. The record is from RNAcentral.